UCCUACGGGAGGCAGCAGUGGGGAAUAUUGCACAAUGGGCGCAAGCCUGAUGCAGCCAUGCCGCGUGUGUGAAGAAGGCCUUCGGGUUGUAAAGCACUUUCAGUCGUGAGGAAGGUAGUGUAGUUAAUAGCUGCAUUAUUUGACGUUAGCGACAGAAGAAGCACCGGCUAACUCCGUGCCAGCAGCCGCGGUAAUACGGAGGGUGCGAGCGUUAAUCGGAAUUACUGGGCGUAAAGCGCAUGCAGGUGGUUUCUUAAGUCUGAUGUGAAAGCCCACGGCUCAACCGUGGAGGGUCAUUGGAAACUGGGAGACUUGAGUGCAGAAGAGGAAAGUGGAAUUCCAUGUGUAGCGGUGAAAUGCGUAGAGAUAUGGAGGAACACCAGUGGCGAAGGCGACUUUCUGGUCUGUAACUGACACUGAGGCGCGAAAGCGUGGGGAGCAAACAGGAUUAGAUACCCUGGUAGUCCACGCCGUAAACGAUGAGUGCUAAGUGUUAGAGGGUCUCCGCCCUUUAAUGCUGAAGUUAACGCAUUAAGCACUCCGCCUGGGGAGUACGGCCGCAAGGCUGAAACUCAAAUG
RNAcentral lists this ribosomal RNA (579 nucleotides) under uncultured bacterium. RNAcentral's name for it is "bacterial SSU rRNA". It matches the Rfam family "Bacterial small subunit ribosomal RNA", at positions 337 to 907 of the family's 1533-position model. The record is from RNAcentral.